RNAcentral lists this long non-coding RNA (923 nucleotides) under Zonotrichia albicollis (white-throated sparrow). Its description in RNAcentral is "lncRNA (ENSZALG00000011210.1)". Lineage: Eukaryota; Metazoa; Chordata; Aves; Passeriformes; Passerellidae. The record is from RNAcentral.
GUGCCCAAUUAUGUCUGCUAAUACGUGGAUAGUGAUGAUUUAAUCUUUGAACUAUAUGAGCGGAUUCAGGUACAGUUAGGGGAGCUGCAGUAAUUACAGAGGACCCAAACACACAAGCUGGACGGAUCUAACAACGCAGUCUGGGCUCCGUGCCAAAGGCUGGUAUUUCACAGCAGCGACCGCCUUACAGAUGAGCUGUGGGAAGCAGGAGGGAGACUCUCUUAGGGUGCCACUACUAUGGAGACACAGCUGGGCUGAACAAGAUUUGCUUCAAACGACAACAAGAGAGACAGAAAGAGUCUGGUUCGACCGCUGCCCAAGCAGGCAGUAACCAGAAGAGCUAGCAGCCAAUCCGGCCAUGCUGCACUGUUCGAAACCAGCUCUACAUCCCAGCCAAUCAGUGACAUCACUGGACUGGAAAGAAACAUUUUCCACAGAUGCCAGCUUCUGUCUGCUGUGAUGCUCCACUCUGAGUGAUGCCAUGUUCACCACUGAGCAGUACUGGCAAAGGAGAGCAGCUUCUCAGAAUGAGUCUGCAGUCGCACGGCUGGUGGUGUGGCACAGACGGAGCAAGGGUUACAUCAAGGCUGUUCUCUGGACCGUGCAAACAGUCUAGACCAAUGACCUGCAGCAUCGUGCCCUUUGAAGAAGAGGCAAGUUCAGUCACGACGAAGAAAAAUCAAGGCGUACCCCUUUUAACAAUAGGGAGCAGCUCGUGGCUGCAAAGAGGUGUGCAGCUGCCAUUCCAGGUGUGCAGCUGCCAUUCCACCUCACAGCAGGGCUGUGUUUGCUGCUCCACAAGCUGCAGAAAAGGCAGAGAGAGAAAGGAACACAGAAAGACACCAAAGCUGAGAUCUUCAAAGUACCCAAACUCCAUCAGGAAAGUUUUUGGUACCUUGCUGGUCUGUGGAUCUGUGGAGUGA